GCCCGGCUAACUUAGUCGGUAGAGCAUGAGACUCUUAAUUUCAGGGUUCUGGGUUCAAGCCCCACAUUGGGCG
RNAcentral lists this transfer RNA (73 nucleotides) under Cricetulus griseus (Chinese hamster). It matches the Rfam family "tRNA". Rfam says of the family: Transfer RNA (tRNA) molecules are approximately 80 nucleotides in length. Their secondary structure includes four short double-helical elements and three loops (D, anti-codon, and T loops). Further hydrogen bonds mediate the characteristic L-shaped molecular structure. tRNAs have two regions of fundamental functional importance: the anti-codon, which is responsible for specific mRNA codon recognition, and the 3' end, to which the tRNAs corresponding amino acid is attached (by aminoacyl-tRNA synthetases). tRNAs cope with the degeneracy of the genetic code in two manners: having more than one tRNA (with a specific anti-codon) for a particular amino acid; and 'wobble' base-pairing, i.e. permitting non-standard base-pairing at the 3rd anti-codon position. The record is from Rfam by way of RNAcentral. Lineage: Eukaryota; Metazoa; Chordata; Mammalia; Rodentia; Cricetidae.